UACGGGGGGGCAAGCGUUGUUCGGAAUUACUGGGCGUAAAGGGCUCGUAGGUGGCCAACUAAGUCAGACGUGAAAUCCCUCGGCUUAACCGGGGAACUGCGUCUGAUACUGGAUGGCUUGAGUUCGGGAGAGGGAUGCGGAAUUCCAGGUGUAGCGGUGAAAUGCGUAGAUAUCUGGAGGAACACCGGUGGCGAAGGCGGCAUCCUGGACCGACACUGACACUGAGGAGCGAAAGCCAGGGGAGACAA
Molecule: ribosomal RNA, 248 nt
Filed under: uncultured bacterium
Lineage: Bacteria
Description: partial 16S ribosomal RNA
Rfam family: Bacterial small subunit ribosomal RNA
Source: RNAcentral